UAGGGAAUUGUUCGCAAUGGGCGCAAGCCUGACGACGCAACGCCGCGUGGAGGAUGAAGGGCUUCGGCUCGUAAACUCCUUUCGACCGAGAUGAAUACCCGCAGGGCCAAUACCCUUGCGGACUGACAGUAUCGAGGGAAGAAGCCCCGGCUAACUCCGUGCCAGCAGCCGCGGUAAUACGGGGGGGGCAAGCGUUGUUCGGAAUUACUGGGCGUAAAGGGCUCGUAGGUGGCCAACUAAGUCAGACGUGAAAUCCCCAGGCUCAACUUGGGAACUGCGUCUGAUACUGGAUGGCUUGAAUUCGGGAGAGGGAUGCAGAAUUCCAGGUGUAGCGGUGAAAUGCGUAGAUAUCUGGAGGAAUACCGGUGGCGAAGGCGGCAUCCUGGACCGAGAUUGACACUGAGUGAGCGAAAGCCAGGGGAGCAAA
This 427-nucleotide ribosomal RNA is filed under the name uncultured bacterium. RNAcentral describes it as "bacterial SSU rRNA". It matches the Rfam family "Bacterial small subunit ribosomal RNA", at positions 355 to 772 of the family's 1533-position model. The record is from RNAcentral.